AAAAACAUAAAAAAACCAAAACAUAAAAUUAACUAGUGAUUUAAUAGUCUGGUAAAUUGCUUGUGGAUCUGCCAAGAUAGUCAAAAUAUUGUCCAAAUGAAGUAGAUGGAAGAGGAGUUUCUUGAUCUUGAUCUUUUCGUUGGACACGUCGUUUUUGUAAAAUCCGUCCUUGUUCACUCUCAAAGUAUGCUCGAAUAUGUGAGUUUUGAAAGGAAUUCAAAUCACAAAAUAAAAUUUGUAAUGUUUUAUUAUUGUUAUAUGAUGUAAUGGUUUUUUAAUAAAUAAGUAGUGUCUAAUUUAA
RNAcentral lists this small RNA (301 nucleotides) under Arabidopsis thaliana (thale cress). RNAcentral describes it as "ATSL195250". Lineage: Eukaryota; Viridiplantae; Streptophyta; Magnoliopsida; Brassicales; Brassicaceae. The record is from RNAcentral.